GCAGUCGCCGCCAGCCAUGUGCUUGUGCUCUGGGGCCUGCUGGCUUCACUGCUGCCUCUCACCUUGGUCCCCAGCGGUGCUCCCUUUGCUCUCCUACCAGGAAACUCCAUUGUACAUGAGAUCCCAAACGCUUUAUAAAGUGCCUUCAAGCCUUAGCCUGCAUAUCAGCACUUUGUAAAGAACACAGGGAUGGAAACGCACGUGCCAAACUCUGAGCAGUGAGACUGAUGAGCAGUUCAAGGUUCAUCCUGAUUAAUUGCUUCUUUUCGCAGAAUGGUGGGCUGCUGUCUUUUGUUGGAGCAGCCUUUUAUUGCUCAGGAGCCCAGACACACCCUGUGAAAUCUUCCCGUGUUUUUGGGGUUGGUGGGCGGAUGUAGGUCUGCUGCAGAGACCUGCAAUGCAGAUGCUCAACAAUUAAGCUGUAAGUGGACUCCUACACACUUGUAAGGUACACAAGGCCCAUGCAGUGCCUGCCAAGUUCCCCAAGCAGUAACAGUUCAUGACACUCUUGAGAUAUCUGCCAGAUGCCGACACAGUGUUCUGAAGUUCCUAUUUCAGGACAUAAUUUUAAAAAUACUUCUAGCUCAGGAUUUAGAGUGCCAAAAAGCAUUUGUGUAUGAAUUGUAAUGUAAACCAUAAACCCAACAGGAAAUAUCAGAGCCUUCUCCUCUCGUAGAUAUGAUGCGACUUCGGAGUGUCAAGAAAAUGUUCCUUUAUUGGCAAGAAAACAAAUACAUUUUACUGUCCCAUACGUGCAAAAUGAAACAACCAAUUAACAUAUAUCUGGCAAAGAAGAAGUAUUUUUACCUUCCAGUAUUGCCCACACAUCCCAGAUUGUAUAUUGAUUGCAACAUUUAUGAGUAUUGCACAGGCGGCAGCUGGUGAAAACUGCUAAGCACUGAGUUUGGCUGACAAGGAGGCACUGCAGUUUUAGCAACUGAAUCAGCAAUUUGCUCAGCCUGAAUUUGCUCGUGUUUCUGGAGCUCAUGCUGGGAAUCCUCAGUGGCCUAGCAAAAGUUUGAACAUAGUUGCUUUCCUAUCAUCAGCUGGCUGGCGUAGUCGCUCUCAGAGUACAUAUUCUUAUCUUUUCAGUAUAUACCAAAGUUAAUUGCAGUGGAAAAGAAGACACUUGUCUGCUUUAUCUAAUAUAAGAUCUACCUUCUUAGGUCUAAGUUCAAUAAAAGGUAAGUGUGCAUGUGUAAAAGCAUUUUAAAAUACUUUGAACCUGACCUUAUUAUUUUCUAAGUUAAGAUUCAGAUGGGCACAAGGAAGUCCUAAGGUUAUUAAGAUGCUAACCCUCUUCUUCUCAGUGUAUUUUUACAGCGUAAGCACCAAGACAACGAUAACUGUGUGAUGUACAGAAUGCAACUCCCACCCCUGCAUCAAGCCAUCCUCAAAGUAUUUAUUUUCUUACCCCAAUCUCUAGACCAGAAAAAAAAAAGCACGUAUUUCUUGUUUCUGGGACGUCGUCCACUGGCUCUUAGUAACAGCUGAACAGAUUCAAAUAUCCCCUACCACCAUUCUGACACCCACCCACUGACACACCUACCGUGCUUCCUACUAAAUUCGUGAGGUUAGGUUGAAGAGCCUGCAUUCUCUCAAACAUGACUGAAGCUAGCUGACAGGAGAAGGGCUGACUAAUGGAUGGGCUUUGCAUCAGCCCUUGUUCCUCUGAGCCCUUGCACCAUUAAGUGAAAUUAAAGAGUUCAAGGAUUGGAGUUAUGAUACCUCCCUAAUUGUUUUGUUCAAAUGAAUCCAACACUUGUAAUAGUGUAUUACAUGUAUUUUUAAAUAUCUUAAAGCAGCAGCUUUACAACAAUACAUUGUGUAGCCGAAUACAAUGAAGCAUCUUACUGAAAUACCCAACUACUUUCUGUUCUCGGUCCUGCUGCACAAAAUCAGCAUUUUACACCAUGUUAUGAUAACAAAGAACUUCCAAACAGCCAUUACACUGCAUGAGUAUGUGGGAAACUGCUCAUCAGUCAUUUACAACAGAGGGAAUUUCGCAAUCCUGGAAGAAGGACUAGUAAGUAUAGUCAAAGUGUUCCUCUUUCAUUUUCUCUUUCACCAUUUCCAUACUAGCCCGGUGUGUAACCAGAUAGCUUUCUAAGACCUCUGUUAGCAAGCAGAGUUUGGUGUGCAGGCACCAAUCCUAAUAUUACGGGAGCUCAGAGGUCUUUGAGUGCAGAGCAAAUAGCUUUUAAGAGCAAUGCCAAUUGCUAAAAGGAUCAUAUUACAAUAAUAGAUUUGAAAGCUUAUACUCCAAACAGCAUUGCGAAUGAGAGCUGACAACAGAGAUGAAUUUUGUGAGCUGCUAGGAGCAGAGCAGGACUUGCUUAUUGCACUAAUGAACGUGGCUUGUGGGAAAGCUGACACCUCAUUGAAAUCAGGCCUCUCAAUCACCCAUGAUUACUGUGGGACUCAGAAGGGAUGCAGAAGCAGCUACACGAUGCUGGAUGAGAAGACACCGGAAGCUAUUCAAAUGAGAAGAGAUGGAUGGAUAAUUCUGACGUUCUCAGCCUCAGUCUGGAGAGGGAUCUGGAAGGAGCUGGGAGCCUGCUCAGCUGUUGCUUGACGGACUGCUUUUCAUCCAUUUUGAGAGGAAGCCUCAGAAGCUGAGCUCUCGGGCGGGAAUGGAGGACGAAGUGAGGUGCAAGGGAGCAUGUGGCCCAGAAGAGGCAUACAAAUCCUGCCUACACACUCUAUGCGAACAGCCGGAGCUGACUCACGGGCAGCACAGGAUGAGUAUGUUCUGCAGCAGAUGCCACUCUGUGCUGUAUCCCGUGGCUUUCGUAUUUUACAAACAUCCUGCUGCCUCUCAAAUGUCUGUAAGAAUGGUUUUGAAAAUGUAAGCCAAAGAUAAGCAAUGCAAAGGUGUCUGCUUGAGUCCACAGGCAGGCAGAGCAAGAUCUUCAAAGGUCUGAAUGUUUGCCAUUCAUCUUAAUGGCAUGUUAUUACUAAAGUCAUGCAGCAAUACACGGGUUAGGGUUGUUAACUAUUUCAUUGCAGGGUAAAACUUGAAAGGAAAUGUUAAAUUGAUGAAUAGCCUGUAGGUAUACUUUAGUCAUUCUCAAUGCCAUCUCGUUUUGGCCUUAAAUUGCAGUAACAUUUUUAUCUGAGCUUCGUACUUGCAUUAUAAAGAACUGUCUAGAAAUUAUUUCCAGACUGAAUUAGCUGGUAUUCCGACUGUGAUGCUGCUUACCUGACCGUCUAUCUUUACAUCACAAUUUGGCACUUCUGUGGCCAUCAGUUUAUAAGAUUCAAGCUUCUGAGGAGAGCAAGUGGGGCAAAUCUUACGUGAUAACAAAGAUCAGCAAGAGCUACACAAUUAAAUUAAGACAGAAAAGGUUGAUGUGUUGUGUCUUGGCAAUUCUGCAAGUUUUGAGACAGAUGCUGUCAUCUAUUUAACUGAGGGAAGCAAAUGUCCCUUCUCCAACUAAAUGUAAAGUGGAGGGGGACUCCGAGUCAAGUAGAAAUUUACAGUAGAUCUACCAAAUUAUUUUUCCUAAGUGGGGCACUGCUGGGACUGCAAAAGAGCUUUUAAAGUCAAACUCAUUUUAUUAUAACAGAAACUGGAUCCUGUAGCUUUUUUAACAGAUAAAAUUUUGCAGCAUUUGGAAACAGAAUUCCUUCUCACCCACUGUGUCCUGGCAGAAAGGGUCCCUUUUUCGGGCUUCCUCCCAGUUCAGCAGCUCGGGAACUUUCUGUAUUGCACCAAAGCCUCCUCUGAGAAAGAUCCCUGAGACUCUAGGAAAUAUCUUUUGUCCCAUCACUGAGGCCUGGCUGUGUGUCUGCUCUUCUCAGCAGUUUGCCUGUCUCUGCCUGUGAUGCGGGCUCUGUGCCUGCUGAGUUCUCCUCAUAUCCUCACAGGAGUACUCCCACAUUUGACUCAGCAAUUAAUUAUUUUAAUUUUAUUGCUGUUUAACUGAAUUCAUAUACUAUACACUAUCUAAAAAAAUCGUGUGGAAAAUGAGAGAGGCUGAUUAGAGAGGAACUAUCUGCAGGGUGAGAGGAGAGGAAGCUGAAGGCUAUGAACUGUCAGAUGAAGGGAAUUUUAAGACUAGCUUGGCACUGAGUGUCUGUGGUGAAAGAAUAUCACGAAGAGCAGUCUCCAGCCAAGUCUUUGGGGGCUGGUUUCUUUGUUCUUCUUUGCUUUAGUGCUUAAUCCCAUAAAAACUGUACGUGGCAUUACUGAAAGAAAUGACCCAUGAAGAAGAUUGGUAUGGCUGUCAGAAACAGACAAAACAAUGAAGAUCUUUGGAAAGAGCUAUAGGAGAUCGGGUAGGAAGAGCUACGAGAAGUACAGAAAUAUCAAGCAUUGGCAGAAAGAGAAACAUGAAUGAAAAGAGAGAAACUGUACACGAUAAGGUGUUGCUUUGUAGUAAUGUUGGAAAUACAGUAAUAUAUUCCAACCUCUGCACAGAGUCUUCAAGAAAGGUAAGUCACACACAGGAAGGAAAUUAUCAGCUAUAUAUGCCUCAACAUGAGAAUUUAACUCUUCUCACAGGCACCUUUUCCUUUUAAUGAACAAAAUACAGAUUUACUCUAAACAUAACAGUUUUGAACGAGUAUGUCUAAAGCCUCAUUUGUUUGCUGGGCAUAUCCCUUCCUACAGAAGAAUGUGCAAAAAGUAUUUUCAUAUUUAACUUGGACAAUAUUCUAAUUAAAAUAUAUAUGUAUAUAUUACUCUUAGCUAGAGGGAUGAAACUACACAAAUAGCUUUCAUUUCUUUUGCUUUUGACAGGACUGCCUGCCUAGCAAAUUGAGUGGAUACUUCGGUCAGUGCACCUUGAGCUCCAGGAGGCUGUGCAAAGCAGAGCCCCAGCCAGUCCCCUGGUAACAGCAGGCCUCAGGCCGUGCAGCUGCCGGAGUAGAUGCCACACCAACAGGGCUCUCAUCACGGCAGGGAAACCAGGCUGCUGGCAGUGUGUGACAGGGGGAUGCUCUGGACACAAAGGUGCAACGCAGUGCCCUGCCUGCUGGGUUGGAAUCCCAGGCAGACAAGUGUCACGCUGCAGGUAUGCACGUAGGGUGCUCUGAGAGCCGCUCCUUAAUGAGCUGGUAGCAUGCCAGCCUUUGAUUGGCAUGAGGCAACCACAUGGGUUUUAAUCUCUUCCUCUGCAUGCAUAGUGACUAUUAAUGAGAGGAUUACUGUGAAGUGGCCUGAAACUGAAUGGCAUGUGUAGAAUCUCACGGCUACAUAAGUCACAGGCAAGCUUGGAUAGCACAAGAAAGGUGCAGCCUUCUUCACGUUUUCCAAAAAGAAUUGGGAAGAUCAAAUACUCGGUGUCAAACUCUUGCAUGGAGGUACCCAAACUCAUAACGAACAUCAGCUCUAAAAGUUCUGUUGUCACUGCCAGUAUGUGAAUACCUCGCAUGGGUGUCACCUUGUUCCUCUAGCACCGAAAGUCGAGCGGUGGGAGAGGUGAUCCCAUCAGCUGAGGCAGCUGACAAGCCAGUAACUUCUGCAGAUCAGAUUGUAAAAAAUGUUGUAAACAAGCACGUGCCUGGAUUUACCCUGUAGGACGGUAUAAUACCCGGCUAUGGAACUGCAGGGUCGCUGCUUGCCAAAAUAAGACUGAAUAAGCUGAUGUUUUGCAGGUACUCCAGGCUCACCCUCGUCUCCUGAGCACAUUCUGCAGCACUUCAUAGUUAAGGUUACACAGACACGCUCAGCAAAACAGGAUCCUUUCCACCGGGGUGAGGGGAGCAGAGAGAUGGCUGCUAGCUGCCAGCCUAGAGUGGAAAGUGAGUCAUGGUCAUGAAAUAGGUCAUUUCCACUCCAUGUGAACGCUCUCGCAUAGUAUUCAGGUUAGUUUCUGUAACAAGGAACAGUCUGGGCUCAGGUUUACUUCUGGGCUUGCCGCUUCUGCUGCAGAUAAGCAGGAAAAAAUAAGCUGUAUAAAAAUGGGUGUUUUCAGCUGAUGAACGUAUGACUGUGGAUUCUGGCAAAAUUAUUCUAACUUCCACUGAUUGAACAUGUGGUUUAGUUUUGUUUCAUGCAUCCAGGCAGCUUCUUUAAAAAAGAAGAAGAAAAAAAUCUCAGUAGCAGCUGCAUUGGCUUCCGCUAAUAUUUGCUUCCCUAACUGAAAACCUGAGCAGUCCAGCAAAAGAUGAAACCCUUUCUUUAUUCUUAUUUCAAAUCAUGUCUUCGAAAUGCGAGUUUCUGCUGGCAGAUAGAACACGAGCUUAUCUACAGCGAGCGGGAGGCUGUGCUGUGAGCCCUACUUUGGGGAAGCCUCUUUGACCCCAAGCAGGAUAUUCUACAACAUCUGAAGAUUGAGUGAUGAUAGCAAUAUUUUUUCCAGGACGUUUCUCGGAGAAGAGGGAGGGGUGUGGUUAUCGUUGUCAUUUCACCGUAGCAGAUAGAACGCUGUCUGGAGACACCGCCCUUGCUGGAAAAUUGAUUAAGGUCUGGAUUUGGAAGCAAAAGACCACCUCUGCUGCUUUGCUAACUGAUAAGAAGAAGUUGGUCUGUGUCUGCGGGAGGGACUUUCCCCAAAACUCUGCACCUGUGGAUACCAGCCAUCAGACACCGCCACUUCACAUGCACCUCCAGCUCUGAGGGUCCGCCAAAGUCAUCCUAGCUUGCAAGAUCCUAUCCUAUAUAAAGGACAAGAAAUAGGUGUGAGACAGGAGGCAGGAAAUGUGUCAUUUCACUAUAACUGUGCAGAAAAUGGUCAGAUGCUGUGGAUAGUCACUGGGGAAGCUGAGGGAGCCAUGCCCCUGAGCAUCCAUUCCAGCACAGCUCUAAAGGAGUCUAUGGCUGAGUUGCUUGGGAGGCAACACACCUAGCACAGAGAUACACACUUCUGCCAAGGAAGUCCUUCAGUCUUAGGAACUCCUAAAGAUCCACCUGACUUGAACAUCUUUUGCUUUUGUGGUGGAACUCAGCUGCAGAUCAUGGCAGGGAUCUUCACCAGCUUGACACAUUCACCAAAAGAAGAACAAUCUGAGCUAAUAAAAGAAGGAAAUGAAUUAGGAAGCAAUUUGUUGAACUGGAUUUUAUUCUUUACUAAAACUUAAAUCUUGUUUGAUCGGACUUUUGUUUUUAUUGCCUUGUUCUCAGCCUUUUUGCUGUGAUUUUAACAUUUCCUUUUUGGCUUUUGUAGCCUUCAUCCUGAUGUACAGAAUUCAGAAUAAAGGUGAAUUUAGUUAUCCCAUGGGGACAUACGAAGGAAAGACAAAUCAAACUGAACGAGAGCCUUGGUAGAAAACGCAGCGUAUCUAACAAUGCAUAAUUGGCAACAGAAAACGUGUCAGAUGGGAUUUGUUUGGAGAAGAACUUCCAAAGAAGGCUGAGAGCCAAGCUGAAGUAGUCACCUAAAGUUACUUUAAGAUUUAUGUGCUGAUGAUAGACUGUGGGGCAAAGCAUUCACACGGGGAAGGCCAUGCUCACUAGUUCACUUGGUCAAUUCUCAAUAAAGAAUUACCAGCCCUGAGUGAUAUUGCUUGGAACAGGUAUCUACCAUUAAAAUUUUAAAAACACGGAAUAAAAUGCAGAUCAUCGUGAUGUAGAUCUUACAGCUCCAGGAUGAUGCUAAAACUACACUCUAUUUGGCUAUGGUAACACGUCCAAUUCUCAUCUGCUUCAGACAGAAAAUGUUUAUAGAAAAAUAACUGAGCAAGGUUAAUCAGAACGUACUCAAACUUUUCUGUCUUAUCAACAAAAUCUUUGUAAAGGUAUUCAAACAGUGGGUUGCUUUCCAGAGAGAAUAAACAGCAAGGUAUCAAUAGCAGAGCUUGUAAUACACUAUGACCUGAUAGCAGCCUUUCAAUAUCUAAAAGGGAGCUACAGGAAAGAAGAGACAGACUCUCUAGCAGGGUGUGUGGUGGUAUAACAAGGGCAAAUGGUUUCAAGCUUAAAGAGGGUAGAUUUAGGCUGGAUACAAGGAAAAACUCUUUUACUGUGGGGGUGGUGAGGCACUGGAACAGGUUGCCCAGUGCUGUGGUUGAUGCUCCAGAAAGACUGUCAAGAAGAGGCUGGAUCAGGCUCUGAGCAACCUGAUCUAGCUGUGGUGUCCCUGUUCAUUGCAGGGGAGUUGGACUAGAUGGCCUUUAAAGGUCUCUUCCAACUCUGAGGAUUCUAUGACUCUAUGCAGGCUAUGCAGUCUAAGCUGCUACAAAAUAAAGAAAUAGCUGCUCAUUUGGGGAUGUCAGUGAGAGAUCAGCAUAGCGUUGUUGGCAGGCGGGGAAUGCGUUGUUCAAACAGAGAGAGAAAUAAUAAGUCAAGAUACGUGCAAUGUUUCAUCUUUUCUAUUCCCUGUACUCAGGAUUAACGCUUUCAUGUACGGAAUAUGCUAGAAGAUGGGGAUAAGGUGGCAGAUGAAAUUCAUUAAUGAGAGACACAAGCCAGGGGACAGAUAGAACAUGAUAAAUUGGUCUCCUUGUGCAGAACACUGAUUACUAAACCAUGAUGACUGCUCCGAAAGUAAUGCAUCCUGUUUUAUUAUAUUGGCCCAUUAUAUCAGAGGCAAAUGUUGGUAGUAUGGCAGUAGAUGCUGAA
Molecule: long non-coding RNA, 8506 nt
Organism: Gallus gallus (chicken)
Lineage: Eukaryota; Metazoa; Chordata; Aves; Galliformes; Phasianidae
Exons: 5
Source: RefSeq, a predicted model, not a curated record